GAGUUGAGAUUGCAGCACAAAUACUAAAAUUGCAGCAGUGCACAGAAGAUUCGCAUGGCACCUAUGCAAGGAUGACACAUAAAUUUGUGAAGCAUUCCACAUAUUU
Molecule: small nuclear RNA, 106 nt
Organism: Jaculus jaculus (lesser Egyptian jerboa)
Lineage: Eukaryota; Metazoa; Chordata; Mammalia; Rodentia; Dipodidae
Source: Ensembl